This 229-nucleotide ribosomal RNA is filed under the name uncultured bacterium. Its description in RNAcentral is "partial 16S ribosomal RNA". It matches the Rfam family "Bacterial small subunit ribosomal RNA", at positions 568 to 796 of the family's 1533-position model. The record is from RNAcentral.
UGCGUAGGCGGAUCGACAAGUUGGGGGUGAAAUCCCAGGGCUUAACCCUGGAACUGCCCUCAAAACUGUUGAUCUAGAGACCGGGAGAGGUAAGCGGAAUUCCUAGUGUAGAGGUGAAAUUCGUAGAUAUUAGGAAGAACACCAGUGGCGAAGGCGGCUUACUGGACCGGUACUGACGCUGAGGUACGAAAGCGUGGGGAGCGAACAGGAUUAGAUACCCUGGUAGUCC